UUAGGAAUCUUCCACAAUGGGCGAAAGCCUGAUGGAGCAACGCCGCGUGCAGGAUGAAGGCCUUCGGGUCGUAAACUGCUUUUGUUAGUGAAGAAUAUGACGGUAACUAACGAAUAAGGAUCGGCUAACUCCGUGCCAGCAGCCGCGGUCAGACGGAGGAUCCGAGCGUUAUCCGGAGUGACUGGGCGUAAAGAGUUGCGUAGGUGGUUUGUUAAGCGGAUAGUGAAAUCGUGUGGCUCAACCAUACGGCUAUUAUCCGAACUGGCAAACUUGAGAGCGAGAGAGGUAGCUGGAAUUCCUAGUGUAGGGGUGAAAUCCGUAGAUAUUAGGAAGAACACCAAUGGCGUAAGCAGGCUACUGGCUCGUUUCUGACACUAAGGCACGAAAGCGUGGGGAGCGAACCGGAUUAGAUACCCGGGUAGUCCACGCCGUAAACGAUGGAUGCUAGCUGUUGGGUGCUCGACCCAUCCAGUAGCGAAGCUAACGCGUUAAGCAUCCCGCCUGGGGAGUACGGUCGCAAGAUUAA
RNAcentral lists this ribosomal RNA (526 nucleotides) under uncultured Candidatus Saccharibacteria bacterium. Its description in RNAcentral is "bacterial SSU rRNA". It matches the Rfam family "Bacterial small subunit ribosomal RNA", at positions 355 to 897 of the family's 1533-position model. Lineage: Bacteria; Candidatus Saccharimonadota. The record is from RNAcentral.